CUACCCUAAACAGCCAACAAUACCAUGGGAUCACAUUCCAGCGAUGCCAAACACCCACCAUGGGGUCACACAGCAAAAACUGGAGAGUUGAAAUUUCAGGGUAAAAUAUUUAUAAGAGUUGAUUUUCGCUCUCAAAGUGUAAUUUUGACACAUUCCGAUAUAAAUGGUGUUCAGAGUUAGAGUUAUUAAACAGAGUUGAUCACAUCAGUGUUUGUCCAAGUCUACAGAAAUGUAAGUAAGCUCCACCCAUGCAUUUCACUUCGGUUGAAUACGAAGGACAGAAGUUGGCGGCAUUUUCCUCCUCUUGAGCAGUUCUACAUGGUAAGUGCAAUUCAAGUCAAAGUCACCUAAAUUCAAGCAGUAAACUGUAAUAUGCACAAUGACACAUUUGCGGAGAAUACACCUCCUCCCAUCCAAAGUUUUGUGGCGAUUUGGCCUCGAGUCCACAUGACAAUGGUGUUUUUGAGGCCUGAAAACGUUUUGUGAGUGGGUUCCUGAGUGGAGACUUUUGAAAACACAACUCUAUCGUCGCUGUGUUUACAGGUGAAAACAUUGGUUAAAUUUAUCCAUAGACUGAUCAAAAUAAAAAUGGUUCAAUAUAAAUGAUUUAAAAUAAUUACUUCUUGGCUGCGUUCUUUCGGCACACUGUCUUGAUUUAAAAUCCAUACGGCUUUGGGGUGAAAAGGACAUUUCGUUGCUGAAGAAAAAGAUAGUAAAAUUGGCAUAAACAUCUCGGUGAAGCAGUAAUCAGAUUAUUUUUGCCUGUCUCUUCCUCCUGCUCGGGCACUUCCCUGUCAUUCCAGUUUGUUUCACAUUCUGCCUUUGUCUGUUUCAGUGAUUUUUCCUUCGGUUUUAUAAUGAUUGGUGUUUAGGUUUUAUUUCUAUUUAGUCUGAACAAAUCCCACAGUGUUUUAUGUUUCCUUGUGGCCGGUGUUUCUUAAAACGUUGUGAGGACAUGAACAUUUUUGAAAAGGCAAGAAGAAAAACGUCGUAUUUAAGAGCCUCUUUUUCCACAUGGACUGAACUUUAGUUGUCCGUGACUAUGACUUCGCCAUAUUAUUAUUACUGUUAUUCACAGUUUUACCUUUAAAUAAGGUGACCAUCCGUCCCCUUAGAAAAUCCCCUUUUUCAGACAACUGUUCCCACUCAGAAACAUGUCCCUGGUUUCAGCUGGUUCACUUUUUUGAAUGUAUCUCAUCACCACGAUAAUUUGAACUUGAUGGUGUUUUGACUGAGGUUAUGCUUUACCACAUCCUGCAACUUUGGCGAGAAAUCACGUGAUAAGCUUUCACUUUGUACUCUAGUGUUUAGAGUCCCUACUCGUGAUCUCUAGAUCGUGUCAAUUUCGACAUUUUUGAAGAUACCAAGAAAAAAACAUGUAAAUUAUCAGUAAACGGAAUUGUAAGUUUAAUGUCCAUACAAAAAUUUUGUUUCUUGAACUGAUGCAGACUAUACAGAAUGUAUUUAUGAUUUACAAAAUUGUCCAAAUAUCCAGUCCUUGCACGAUAUUGCGUUAAGUUUUGCUUGUUCGUGUACGCUAGCACGUCGUAAUGAAACUGCAUUUUCACAACCAGGCAUGAGUUCUUCUUGAGACAUAUGUAAUUUACGCUCCUCUAACCCCCCAAAUAUGUCCCCGGAUUGGCCCAAAAAAUUCUGGUAACCUUACUUUAAAUGAUAAUUUACUUUGUCAAUCUUUAUUACAUUUCAGUAAAAACAUGCUGUUUCAGGUGAAGCACAACCAACAACAGAAGUAUGUGAAGUUGGAUGAGGAUGAAGGGCAGUUUGACUUUCAGCAGUUCCAUGAAAAAGUCAUUGAGAAAUUUUGCCUGCCACCUGAUGCAAAAGUUAUAUAUAGGGAUGCCACAAGGAAAGAAAUUGAUGCAGAAAUAUUCAGUGAACUUGUUGGACAAGGCGAUGUGGUGGUGACAGUUUUCUGUGAUGAUGAGUUCUCUACAUGUUCCUUGUCUUCUGCUUCUGAGAUGUCUGAAUCAGGCUUAAACUCAAAUGCAUCAACUGUAAUAGUAGAUGAGGUCCCUAGCAAGACGGAGAAUUGAGGAUGGUGCAUUGUCUUCUAAACAGUUGAUAGAAGAUGUGCUAAGAGCCAAGUCUGGUGGUGAAGAAGUACUAUAGGAGUACCAAACAACAGAAACCCUAACAGAUAGCACAAGAAGACAAAUGGUUAACAUACUGGUGACACACAUGAUUGAUAAUCAUGGGCUCCAUCCCACUAAAGCAAACUGAGAAGAGAAUGCUCUUCGGAUAGUGACACUGUUCCCUUCCCUCAAGGAUCCAUAUACCAAGAGAGGCUAUGAACACUUCUAUGAUACUGCAAGUAUAACAAGUUACAAAUCUUGGCGUCUGAAGACAGGCCGAAGGAAGAUUUGUAGAGAAUCUGCACUCCCAACAAAAAGCUCUACAGACUUUUCUCCAGGAGGCCCAAAUUUCCAAAGGAUGGUUACUGCUAAAAGGCAGCUUGAUGGGGAUGCUGACAAAGAGGCCAUGUCUUGUCAAAAGAUGUUUUCUCAACAAGUUGGGUUAAAAUUGAUGGUGUAGAAUAUAAACCUGGACUUGUUGUUUGCAGUGCAAUUGAUGAAGGCAUGCCAGUGUUUUCUCAAAUAAGUGAAAUAUUUCUGGUUGAUCAGAUUUUUUUUCUUGACAAACAAGCUAUUCACAGAGAAGUUUGAUGAUCAUCAUCAUGCAUUCAUAGUAUUAUGAAGUGAGGAAUUUUGUCUAAUAAAAAUGUCUGAGCUUAAAAUUCAUAAACCAUUUGAUAUUCAAAGUUCAUGCAGUGUUUCAGACUGUACAUUAUACCUAGGCACCUACCUACCUAUAAAAAGGCAAAAAUAAGUGUUAUUUUUGAAUUUUUUUUUGUUUUGUUGAAAUUAAUUCUUAUUAUAACAUUUUUUUCAGUCUAGAUAGCUUAACACUUUAGGGAGUAAAACUAACACAAUUAAAUUAGUAAAAUAAAAAUAACUCUGAGCAGUGUUGUU
This is a long non-coding RNA of Polypterus senegalus (gray bichir), 2990 nucleotides long. RefSeq lists it as uncharacterized. The record is from RefSeq and is a predicted model, not a curated record. The transcript is spliced from 6 exons. Lineage: Eukaryota; Metazoa; Chordata; Cladistia; Polypteriformes; Polypteridae.